UCCGUAGGGGCUGUGGGGUUGAGGGUGGGGCAAAUAUCAAAUGCCCAGAGGUCUCUGAUCCAGUGCAUGGUGACGCAGAGAUUCUUGACGCUGAGACGAAAUGCCGGAGUUUCUCCUACAGUAUGGUAAUCAUGGAAUUUCCAGUGGGAAAUGAGGAGUUGGGGAGGGGAUGAUUCGAAGACAUUUGAAACAGUCCGAGGUCGAAACUUCGGGCCCUCUGAGGGAGGUACAGGAAGGCUGCAGAAGACAAACAUUCGCCUUAUAAAGUUUGUUUGGAAAGCACGCAUCUUGGAGUUGAUUAUUGCACUGGAUUCGUUUCUCCGACACCUAUCGGCGAUCAUCAGCACCUCUUGAGAUCUCUAAUGCACGGUGAAUUUUAAAUGCUCGCGACGGGUUCCCUUCGCAGUGCUAACGAAGGAGAGAUGACGGGGUUUCCCCGGGAUCCGAUUAUUGCUGGAAACGGCGGCGCCGAGUCUGAUCGCACAAUAACUUUAAGGGUGUCGGCUUCAAAUCAGGGUCGACAAGCAUUUGGAAGAAGCGCUCUGUGGAAACGUACUGUGGAUUGCAAUUAUCCGAGAACCUGCAAAUGUAUUUUAAACGCGGUGCUCUGUGGAUCAGUUUAAAACCCUGCGAGAUUGGGCUAAUCGACUCAACUGGGCCAGACCUGGUUUUUCUUCCACGAAGACUCUAUCCAGGCUAGGAGAUAAUGGCAUUUUGGGCACCCAGUUAGGGAGCAAUGCUGCAAGGGACUGUGGGAUGAAAUGGACACGUGGGCUGCUACGGAGUCCCUCUCCACAAGUGCAGAUGGCUGUGCGUGGAGAGGCUCGAUGCCAGAAUAUAAAUAAUGGAGAAUCACUCUGUUUUAUUAGCUUAAUCGUCUCAAGAUUCUACCUUGGGGACCCAGUUCAGGGUGUAUAAUUAAUUUACCCUGCGAUCUGAUAUUUAUCUGGGACCACGUAAACCGUCGUUAAAUGGAAUAUCUCACGGGCUAAUAUGAUUCUGAAGUGCUAGAACAAUGCCCAAGAAGAUCUUCAUUCUCAUCUGAGCCAGUGAAAAUGACUUCUGGGAAGCCGUUUGGGAUGGAAAUGAGUUACUUCCAAAAGCCUUCCAGCCCAUACGUCCAUUAGACUUCAGCAAUCAGGGAAACUUCAAGAAAUUUAGUGCUACUUAUGGAAAGAAGGGUUUAAGGACUUCCCAGGCCCCCCGGAGUUGGAAAGUCCAUCCGGAGAAAUUCCAAGGGGGGAAGAGAAGGCCCAGGAAAAUCUUGACUGGAAUGGGAGAAGACGGACGGUUACAGAUUAUUUACAAAUAGAGGAAGUAAGGAGAAGACCGAGCAUGGAACAAGUAAG
Molecule: long non-coding RNA, 1349 nt
Organism: Ornithorhynchus anatinus (platypus)
Lineage: Eukaryota; Metazoa; Chordata; Mammalia; Monotremata; Ornithorhynchidae
Exons: 3
Source: RefSeq, a predicted model, not a curated record